GGGAAUCUACCGUGCCCUGCGGAAUAGCUCCGGGAAACUGGAAUUAAUACCGCAUACGCCCUACGGGGGAAAGAUUUAUCGGGGUAUGAUGAGCCCGCGUUGGAUUAGCUAGUUGGUGGGGUAAAGGCCUACCAAGGCGACGAUCCAUAGCUGGUCUGAGAGGAUGAUCAGCCACAUUGGGACUGAGACACGGCCCAAACUCCUACGGGAGGCAGCAAUGGGGAAUAUUGGACAAUGGGCGCAAGCCUGAUCCAGCCAUGCCGCGUGAGUGAUGAAGGCCUUAGGGUUGUAAAGCUCUUUCACCGGAGAAGAUAAUGACGGUAUCCGGAGAAGAAGCCCCGGCUAACUUCGUGCCAGCAGCCGCGGUAAUACGAAGGGGGCUAGCGUUGUUCGGAAUUACUGGGCGUAAAGCGCACGUAGGCGGAUAUUUAAGUCAGGGGUGAAAUCCCAGAGCUCAACUCUGGAACUGCCUUUGAUACUGGGUAUCUUGAGUAUGGAAGAGGUAAGUGGAAUUCCGAGU
Molecule: ribosomal RNA, 520 nt
Filed under: uncultured bacterium
Lineage: Bacteria
Description: bacterial SSU rRNA
Rfam family: Bacterial small subunit ribosomal RNA
Source: RNAcentral